RNAcentral lists this transfer RNA (63 nucleotides) under Smilium sinense. RNAcentral describes it as "tRNA-Asn". Lineage: Eukaryota; Metazoa; Arthropoda; Thecostraca; Calanticomorpha; Calanticidae. The record is from RNAcentral.
UUAGUUAUAGCUAAUACAAGCAAAAUCACUGUUAAUGAUUAGAUAAAAAUUUUUUUAACUAAG